CCAGAAUCAGUAUGGAGCUCUUGCUCUACCAAUAACACGUAAUACAAUUGGAAUCACCAUAUUACAAGCUCUACAAGGGUGAUAGCUGGCUAUAGUAAUUGGACCUAUGGACCAAAUUGUCCUUCACCAGAUCGUUCAAGGGAGCACAACAGCAGUAGCAGACCUUGCAUGUUCCUUCACACAACCAGAUCGGAGCAACCUACAAAGAAACACAUGAAUUAGAUGGGGAGAUGGAGAAGAAGAUAAGAUAAGUGGAGGAGCAAGUGACAAACCUGAGAUGGCGCUCCUCCUCCUAGAGUAUAUGCUUUAACAAAAAUAUAGAAACUACAUAAGCAUGUUGUGAUACUCCCAUCUUCAGUAUAUGCAUGUUGUGAUACUCCCAUCUGUACAUUCAUGUUUCAGCAAAGGAAUCAUAAGCUGCACACUUUCAGUAGUAUAGAAUUUACAUAGUAUUCAGCGGCAUGCAAAUUCAACUUUAGUGCUUCAAACAAUUUAGUUCUCUAGAUAACAUGUUCUACCAAUUAUUUAAUCUUACCAAAUGGAUGGUCAUCCAGCUUUACUCAUACAUGGGAUCAUAUUUGUAUCUGAUUUGUAUAAUGAGUCUUUGCAUAGGGAUAAGAUAGGGAAGCUAGUGUAAGCAUUAGACUCUAGCAGUAUUGAAACAGUUCCAGGAAAUAAAAAACUGCUGCCGGUUUUCAGAAUAGAUGCUCACAUGAAUCAUUGGUUAAUCUUGAAUGAACCUUCAGCUCAGAGAAGUCCAAAGACAUUGUGCACCACCAUGGCACCAUCGACAUCAACAACUUGUAGCUAUGAUUUCAGAAUAGAUGCUCCAGGUCCUUAUAGCAUAGAUCAUGUCAAUAAAUUUCACAAGGGAGCGUAAUUUUAAAUUUUGACAAACAGUUUAACAAGUUUAUUAAAAUGUUGCAUCACAUGGAUAAAUAGCAUACAGAUAAUGUUGCAUCACAUGGAUAAAUAGCAUACAGAUAAAUAGCAUAUAUAUGGUAUAGCAUACAAAGAAGAUUCUAAUUUCUCACACUUCCAUUAUCUUAUCAGAUAAUAUGUUCCUCGAUUUCUAAAUCAGCAGGUAGUCUUUAAUCAUAAUAAUAUGAUUGCAAAGGAUGGAACAGUGAUUCAUAGAAAAAGAACAGAAAACAUCAAAAAA
This 1162-nucleotide long non-coding RNA is filed under the name Triticum aestivum (bread wheat). Its description in RNAcentral is "long non-coding RNA (TAES_LNC002511)". The record is from RNAcentral. Lineage: Eukaryota; Viridiplantae; Streptophyta; Magnoliopsida; Poales; Poaceae.